This is an RNA transcript of Mandrillus leucophaeus (drill), 3334 nucleotides long. It is a transcript of the gene named ras homolog family member T1, with no coding region annotated. The record is from RefSeq and is a predicted model, not a curated record. NCBI's taxonomy places the organism in Eukaryota, Metazoa, Chordata, Mammalia, Primates, Cercopithecidae. The transcript has 21 exons.
GCCGUCGUCCCCGCCGCCGCCGCCGCCGCCGCCGCCCGCUGGGCCGGAGGAGGCGGAGCUGGUGCUGUCCCAGCUCUCUUGCAGGGAAGCAACUGAGGGGGCGGCGCGGCGGGCCCCGGCGGCCGAAGAGGCUGGCAGGUGGCGCCGUGGGGUGGGCGCUCCCGGUGAGAGGAGUCCACUCCAUGCGUGCGGGCGGAGGCCGGCCCUCGAGAGCCGCCGACAUGAAGAAAGACGUGCGGAUCCUGCUGGUGGGAGAACCUAGAGUGGGGAAGACAUCACUGAUUAUGUCUCUGGUCAGUGAAGAAUUUCCAGAAGAGGUUCCUCCCAGGGCAGAAGAAAUCACCAUUCCAGCUGAUGUCACCCCAGAGAGAGUUCCAACACACAUUGUAGAUUACUCAGAAGCAGAACAGAGUGAUGAACAACUUCAUCAAGAAAUAUCACAGGCUAAUGUCAUCUGUAUAGUGUAUGCCGUUAACAACAAGCAUUCUAUUGAUAAGGUAACAAGUCGAUGGAUUCCUCUCAUAAACGAAAGAACAGACAAAGACAGCAGGUUGCCUUUAAUAUUGGUUGGGAACAAAUCUGAUCUGGUGGAAUAUAGUAGUAUGGAGACCAUCCUUCCUAUUAUGAACCAGUAUACAGAAAUAGAAACCUGUGUGGAGUGUUCAGCGAAAAACCUGAAGAACAUAUCAGAGCUCUUUUAUUAUGCACAGAAAGCUGUUCUUCAUCCUACAGGGCCCCUGUACUGCCCAGAGGAGAAGGAGAUGAAACCAGCUUGUAUAAAAGCCCUUACUCGUAUAUUUAAAAUAUCUGAUCAAGAUAAUGAUGGUACUCUCAAUGAUGCUGAACUCAAUUUCUUUCAGAGGAUUUGUUUCAACACUCCAUUAGCUCCUCAAGCUCUGGAGGAUGUCAAGAAUGUAGUCAGAAAACAUAUAAGUGAUGGUGUGGCUGACAGUGGGUUGACCCUGAAAGGUUUUCUCUUUUUACACACACUUUUUAUCCAGAGAGGGAGACACGAAACUACUUGGACUGUGCUUCGACGAUUUGGUUAUGAUGAUGAUCUGGAUUUGACACCUGAAUAUUUGUUCCCCCUGCUAAAAAUACCUCCUGAUUGCACUACUGAAUUAAAUCAUCAUGCAUAUUUGUUUCUCCAAAGCACCUUUGACAAGCAUGAUUUGGAUAGAGACUGUGCUUUGUCACCUGAUGAGCUUAAAGAUUUAUUUAAAGUUUUCCCUUACAUACCUUGGGGGCCAGAUGUGAAUAAUACAGUUUGUACCAAUGAGAGAGGCUGGAUAACCUACCAGGGAUUCCUUUCCCAGUGGACGCUCACAACUUAUUUAGAUGUACAGCGGUGCCUGGAGUAUUUGGGCUAUCUUGGCUAUUCAAUAUUGACUGAGCAAGAGUCUCAAGCUUCAGCUAUUACAGUAACAAGAGAUAAAAAGAUAGACCUGCAGAAAAAACAAACUCAAAGAAAUGUGUUCAGAUGUAAUGUAAUUGGAGUGAAAAACUGUGGGAAAAGUGGAGUUCUUCAGGCUCUUCUUGGAAGAAACUUAAUGAGGCAGAAGAAAAUUCGUGAAGAUCAUAAAUCCUACUAUGCGAUUAACACUGUUUAUGUAUAUGGACAAGAGAAAUACUUGUUGUUGCAUGAUAUCUCAGAAUCGGAAUUUCUAACUGAAGCUGAGAUCAUUUGUGAUGUUGUGUGCCUGGUAUAUGAUGUCAGCAAUCCCAAAUCCUUUGAAUACUGUGCCAGGAUUUUUAAGCAACACUUUAUGGACAGCAGAAUACCUUGCUUAAUCGUAGCUGCAAAGUCAGACCUGCAUGAAGUUAAACAAGAAUAUAGUAUUUCACCUACUGAUUUCUGCAGGAAACACAAAAUGCCUCCACCCCAAGCCUUCACUUGCAAUACUGCUGAUGCCCCCAGUAAGGAUAUCUUUGUUAAAUUGACAACAAUGGCCAUGUAUCCCCAUGCCCGGUUACGCUGUAUGUGCACCUGCAACAGGUGUACAUUUUGCAUCUGUCAGAACUUCCUCAACUCAGACUUGCUGCAAUCUGUAAAGAACAAAAUCUUCACUGCAGUUCUUAACAGAAUUGUUUCUGCUUAAGUUUAGAAAUGAGCCAGAAGCAGCUGGGCAUGGUGGCUCACGCCUGUAAUCUCAGCCCUUUGGGAAGCCAAGGUGGGUGGAUCACUUGAGUUCGGGAGAUCGAGACCGUCGUGGCCAACAUGGCACGUGACACAAGCUGACCUCAAGAGCUCCACGUUUUGGCUUCGAGCAAGUUUUGGUGCUACUGUUUUUGCAGUUUUGGGCUUUGCUAUGUACAAAGCAUUACUGAAACAGCGAUGAUAUAAAAAGAAAUACUGGCCCUACCAAAAACAAAUACUUUUAUGUACAUUCUGAAUGCUUUAAGUUCUGCUAGAAAUAUUGAGAUAUUUAUACAUGCAGAGUUACUUUAUUAAUAUUUGUAAUUCAUGCAUAAGAGUAUUUUAAUGAUAGUUAUAACUGCAGUAUUGGCUAGCAUAUGGAAAGAAAACAGCUAACAGCCAAACUAAAAUGGCUAAAUUCCAGAGGCCAAAAGGGAAUAUUUUGUAAAUAUAUGUACAUAUUCAGGUAAGAUAUGGUCUCCCAAGCUGAGUUCUAGAAAUGGUGUUUCUAGACAUUUCUAAAUGGUAUUGUUAGUGCUCACUUGGCUCACUCUCCUAGGUUUAAGUUAGCCCAGAGAUUGUAUUUACUCAUGGAACACUUUAUUUAUUUCACAUUUACUCAGAAUGAUCCUUUGGGUUCUAUAAGGACAUGAGGCACAAUUUGCCAUUCUCUCUCCGUUUUUAAAAACAUAAGCAGUGUCAGCUUACCAACAUGACUUUUUUUCAGUCAGUUGUGGUAGGCCAGCCUUGAAGCCAUCGCACAGUCUAGAAAAUUGUGUAGCUGAGUGUGCAGCUCACCUUUAAGGGUGAAGUAAGGUAAAAGCAAUUAGCAGAGACGUUAUCUAUGUGAUUAUGUUGCUUCUUUUGUCAAUAUGUUGAAUUUUAUAGCCCUUUCAAUGAAAUGAAAAAAAAAAAAAACAAUUUGUAUAUUACCAAUGUUUUUAGUUUAAAUAAAGAGUCACCCUUACUACUGUUGAAUUUCCUCCCAAGAGUAAAUCAUUCUAUAAUGGCUGUGUCUAUUAUAGUCUAUUACAGUAACUGCAUGUGUCACUAAGUGUUCUAUAUCAGGCUAGGAUAACCUAGAGGCAGUAAUUUUUUAAAUGAUAAAUCUAAUGAAUAUAAACUCUCAUGAUAAACCUAUUUUUUCCAUCAUCCGCCUUUUCAAGUAUUUAAAUAAAUAACUGCUGUGUACUGUGA